Molecule: ribosomal RNA, 497 nt
Filed under: uncultured bacterium
Lineage: Bacteria
Description: partial 16S ribosomal RNA
Rfam family: Bacterial small subunit ribosomal RNA
Source: RNAcentral
GAUGAACGCUGGCGGCGUGCCUAAUACAUGCAAGUCGAGCGAACAGACGAGGAGCUUGCUCCUCUGACGUUGGCGGCGGACGGGUGAGUAACACGUGGAUAACCUACCUAUAAGACUGGGAUAACUUCGGGAAACCGGAGCUAAUACCGGAUAAUAUAUUGAACCGCAUGGUUCAAUAGUGAAAGACGGUUUUGCUGUCACUUAUAGGUGGAUCCGCGCCGCAUUAGCUAGUUGGUAAGGUAACGGCUUACCAAGGCGACGAUGCGUAGCCGACCUGAGAGGGUGAUCGGCCACACUGGAACUGAGACACGGUCCAGACUCCUACGGGAGGCAGCAGUAGGGAAUCUUCCGCAAUGGGCGAAAGCCUGACGGAGCAACGCCGCGUGAGUGAUGAAGGUCUUCGGAUCGUAAAACUCUGUUAUUAGGGAAGAACAAAUGUGUAAGUAACUAUGCACGUCUUGACGGUACCUAAUCAGAAAGCCACGGCUAACUACGUG